AUUGAACGCUGGCGGCAUGCCUUACACAUGCAAGUCGAACGGCAGCAUGAUCUAGCUUGCUAGAUUGAUGGCGAGUGGCGAACGGGUGAGUAAUACAUCGGAACGUGCCCUGUAGUGGGGGAUAACUAGUCGAAAGAUUAGCUAAUACCGCAUACGACCUGAGGGUGAAAGUGGGGGACCGCAAGGCCUCAUGCUAUAGGAGCGGCCGAUGUCUGAUUAGCUAGUUGGUGAGGUAAAGGCUCACCAAGGCGACGAUCAGUAGCUGGUCUGAGAGGACGAUCAGCCACACUGGGACUGAGACACGGCCCAGACUCCUACGGGAGGCAGCAGUGGGGAAUCUUGGACAAUGGGCGAAAGCCUGAUCUAGCAAUGCCGCGUGUGUGAAGAAGGCCUUCGGGUUGUAAAGCACUUUUGUCCGGAAAGAAAUGGCUCUGGUUAAUACCUGGGGUCGAUGACGGUACCGGAAGAAUAAGGACCGGCUAACUACGCG
This 490-nucleotide ribosomal RNA is filed under the name uncultured bacterium. RNAcentral describes it as "partial 16S ribosomal RNA". It matches the Rfam family "Bacterial small subunit ribosomal RNA", at positions 30 to 507 of the family's 1533-position model. The record is from RNAcentral.